GCGGUUUCGGGGCAAGCGCGCGACCUCGCCGGCGCGCGUCCCGGCGGUAGGCUAUGUGUGCGGGCGGCCUUGUACCCGGCGGCAACGGGUGGCUCCGUGGUCUCGGCAUUUCAUGGGCGAGUGGCGUGAUUUGGUGAGCUUGGUACCCACUAUUUUGGCCACCACGGCUGGUGGGAUCGGCGGUGUUCCGCGUGAGUGGAUUCGUGCGAGCCGAGCGAUUAUUCUUAUCUGCCUGCGUUCUUCUACAGCUAUCACGGAUUUCAGCGGCAGGGGCAUGCCAUGGAGCUAGGGAAGAUCCUUGACUCCUCGUUGUUAGUGUUCCUUACCAUGGCUGAGAUGGAGUCCGCAACACGCUUGGAGCCAGCGCCGCCGGCUGGAAAAGCAACGGCUCGUAUGCCUUUGGGGUCUCAUCGCCGCCUGAAAUCGAAUAUGGCCAUCUCACCUCGACAUCCCUCUCCACCCACCGUCCCCUACCUCCAUUAGCCGCUGAAAUCAACCAGCAGCCUCUGUACCUGAGUUCCCCAACCUGCAGUUCACGUCCAAGAUCCAGUACAACCAGAUGUCCCCCAAGGUUUGGUAUGAAUGAUUGUUUUGUCUGUAGCAGCAUUCUGGAUUGUGAAUGACCAUGACAUAAAAUUCUUGUUUUUUCAUCUAGUUCUUCAUCGAUUCUUUGAUAUGGUGAAUUAGUACUAUGCAAGUUACCACAAUUGCGCGAUUGACAUAGAUGAAAUAGUGGGUGAUCCAGUUUCGGUAGAUCCAAUUGCAUGUACUCUUGUUUAUGUUCUUGGUUAGAUCAAUUGGUCAACAUAAGCGAAAGAGUUCAUGUGUAUUUUCAUGUACGGCAACCAAAUUCCUGCUCGGUCCAGAGCGAUGCAUCACAUAAUUUGCUUGUUUUAGUUAUCACACAUGACCUGUUGUUCAUGUAACUGCAAAUUCGAGUUAUAUUUAUUCCAAUUAAAGCUGGUGUUUGCUUCUUAAUACAUGUUAAAGGCAUUUCAGCAUAUUUUUUUGUACACAAGUUAAACUAAUCGCAGAAAAUAAAUGCUUCCUUGCCGUUAAGUAUGUGAGUGUUCCUAAUUGGAUAGUUUUCUGUAUCAAAGGAAUUUUGUUGGCUUGCCUUUUACUGGCCGUUGACAAUGAUUUAUGUGGUUCACUGUUACUUAUAAAUAAAGUCACGUGACACAAUCUUCCCGUUAUGUGAUGUCGCAUACUCUGUUCAGCCUCUCAGUUAUAAUCUAAAGAGCUGAAUGAUCUUCUGCCUUUGUACUAGCCAUUUUGAAUUGUUUAAAAAUUGCAUGGCAUCCUAGGCCGUCAUAAGCCUUUACUUUGACAUCCUCCUGAUUGACCCGAAGAAGAUGCACCACCUCUUUAAAUGCUACAUUUUGGAGAGUCAUGUACAUGUUUUCAUUUGAAACCUGCAGUAUCUAUUUCAAUCACCCCUUUUCUUCAUUUGUCUUUUUCCUCGACAACGUUGUUGGUCGGCGGGUGGACUUGGUGGCGUUGUGGUUGGCGGUCUGAACCAUUGACAAUGGCGCCACGGUGAGGGGCAUUUCGCUUCGGUGAUAGGCAGCACGCCGGGUGGUGGCUGCAGGCGGUGUUGCGUGUCUAAUCGCUUCGUGGCGAGCUGAAAAAGGGAAGUAAUUCUAGGUAGAACCAAAAAAACCUGGUAGAGAUUAACAACAUGUGGCAGGUUAGCUGACUUCCGCUGCAGAGCAUGCGUUAGGUGGUCAAUAUCAGGUAUCCAUAUAAGUUGUUGCCCCAAACGUAUUUACCCGCACUGCUAUGUUUAUCAGCUCUCCAUGGCAUCUAGCUGCCCUAACUGGCGGCCAACGGAAUAAGGAACCUAACUUCUCCUCUUGUACUAUUUUUCUGAUGUCCGUGGCUAAUCAGGGGCAGGAGAUUCAAUCCUUAUUUGAUGCAUGCUGACACGGAUCAGUGGUACAUCAGAAAUUCAUGUACCGUACCAUGAGAAAUUGCUAUUCUUACCUCGUCCAACUGCUUCCUCCCAUUGAACAAGGGUUUGCCAAAGGCUGGUAUUUGGUUGCAUUUUCAGGCCCUUCUGCUGCUGGUGAUGCUGCAGCUCCGUCUGAUGGAGAUUUAACACCAUUUGGCGUAUUUUGUAACAAACCUGCAAGAAGAAAUGUCAUGAUCAUGAUGAGGCAUUCGAGUUCAAGACCGAUGAUUAGCAAGUGAUUGGAAGGCUUGACAUUAUAGUGCGGGAAGUCCCUGACAAGGUGUUGCUAACUCAUGAGGUGUCCUCCAAAAUGCCAUGCAGCGGAAUGAAAACUGCAAAAAAUAAUUAUACCGAGUCAUGUAAUUCACUAUAAGUUUGAAGAUUAAUUCUUUUAUUUUUAUUAGCCACGCUGGUUUGUAUUUUAUGAGCACCUAAGACUAUGUGGUAAUUCUUUCUGACA
This is a long non-coding RNA of Lolium perenne, 2414 nucleotides long. RefSeq lists it as uncharacterized. The record is from RefSeq and is a predicted model, not a curated record. Lineage: Eukaryota; Viridiplantae; Streptophyta; Magnoliopsida; Poales; Poaceae.